GACGAACGCUGGCGGCGUGCCUAAUACAUGCAAGUCGAACGCACUCUCGUUUAGAUUGAAGGAGUUUGCUCCUGAUUGAUAAACAUUUGAGUGAGUGGCGGACGGGUGAGUAACACGUGGGUAACCUGCCCUAAAGUGGGGGAUAACAUUUGGAAACAGAUGCUAAUACCGCAUAAAACCUAACACCGCAUGGUGUAGGGUUGAAAGAUGGUUUCGGCUAUCACUUUAGGAUGGACCCGCGGUGCAUUAGUUAGUUGGUGAGGUAAAGGCUCACCAAGACCGUGAUGCAUAGCCGACCUGAGAGGGUAAUCGGCCACACUGGGACUGAGACACGGCCAAGACUCCUACGGGAGGCAGCAGUAGGGAAUCUUCCACAAUGGACGAAAGUCUGAUGGAGCAACGCCGCGUGAGUGAAGAAGGUUUUCGGAUCGUAAAACUCUGUUGUUGGAGAAGAAUGUAUCUGAUAGUAACUGAUCAGGUAGUGACGGUAUCCAACCAGAAAGCCACGGCUAACUACGUG
RNAcentral lists this ribosomal RNA (520 nucleotides) under uncultured bacterium. RNAcentral describes it as "partial 16S ribosomal RNA". It matches the Rfam family "Bacterial small subunit ribosomal RNA", at positions 28 to 507 of the family's 1533-position model. The record is from RNAcentral.